AGACAGAGGGGGCAAGCGUUGCUCGGAAUUACUGGGCGUAAAGGGCGCGUAGGCGGGAUGGCAAGUCGGUCGUGAAAGCCUUCGGCUCAACCGAAGAACGUCGGCCGAUACUGCCGUUCUUGAGGGAUGCAGAGGAGACUGGAAUUCCCGGUGUAGCGGUGAAAUGUGUAGAGAUCGGGAGGAACACCGGUGGCGUAGGCGGGUCUCUGGGCAUCUCCUGACGCUGAGGCGCGAAAGCGUGGGGAGCAAACGGGA
Molecule: ribosomal RNA, 255 nt
Filed under: uncultured prokaryote
Description: partial 16S ribosomal RNA
Rfam family: Bacterial small subunit ribosomal RNA
Source: RNAcentral